GGGAAUUUUCCGCAAUGGGCGAAAGCCUGACGGAGUAAUGCCGCGUGGAGGUGGAAGGCCUACGGGUCGUCAACUUCUUUUCUCGGAGAAGAAACAAUGACGGUAUCUGAGGAAUAAGCAUCGGCUAACUCUGUGCCAG
This 139-nucleotide ribosomal RNA is filed under the name uncultured bacterium. Its description in RNAcentral is "partial 16S rRNA". It matches the Rfam family "Bacterial small subunit ribosomal RNA", at positions 357 to 511 of the family's 1533-position model. The record is from RNAcentral.